RNAcentral lists this ribosomal RNA (417 nucleotides) under bacterium A3M_VP7_C12. RNAcentral describes it as "bacterial SSU rRNA". It matches the Rfam family "Bacterial small subunit ribosomal RNA", at positions 337 to 745 of the family's 1533-position model. The record is from RNAcentral.
UAGUACCGGAGGCAACAUUUAGGAAUAUUGCACAAUGGGGGAAACCCUGAUGCAGCCAUGCCGCGUGUGUGAAGAAGGCCUUCGGGUUGUAAAGCACUUUCAGUUGUGAGGAAAGGUUGGUAGUUAAUACCUGCCAGCUGUGACGUUAACAACAGAAGAAGCACCGGCUAACUCCGUGCCAGCAGCCGCGGUAAUACGGAGGGUGCGAGCGUUAAUCGGAAUUACUGGGCGUAAAGCGCACGCAGGCGGCUUGUUAAGCUAGAGGUGAAAGCCCCGCGCUCAACGUGGGAACUGCCUUUAGAACUGGCACGCUAGACUCUUGGAGAGGGGAGUGGAAUUCCAGGUGCACCGGGGAAAUGCGUAAAUAUCUGGAGGAACAUCACUGGCGAAGGGGGGCUCCCCGGCCAAAAACUGACC